This 24-nucleotide non-coding RNA is filed under the name Arabidopsis thaliana (thale cress). Lineage: Eukaryota; Viridiplantae; Streptophyta; Magnoliopsida; Brassicales; Brassicaceae. The record is from RNAcentral.
UCAAUACCGAAUUCUGGUGAUCGG